Molecule: non-coding RNA, 2333 nt
Organism: Arachis ipaensis
Lineage: Eukaryota; Viridiplantae; Streptophyta; Magnoliopsida; Fabales; Fabaceae
Source: RefSeq, a predicted model, not a curated record
UUUUGAAAAAAAAAAACAACGCCCUCUCUGCGUGCGUACGCCUCCAUACAACUCAUCCGUCUGGGGCGUUCGCACAGCAUAUGCGUAUGCACCCCCAAUUCACCCCCUUCUGCUGGGAGCAACCGCACAGUCGGUGCGUCCGCACCACCCCUACUCUUCCUUCCCUUCUCUUUUCCAAUUCCCCAACGUUCAUCCCUCUCCUCUCCUUUUCUGUUCCAACAUCCACCACCACCAUCACCCACCAACGUCCACCAGCCGCCACCACUCCCGACGAUCGGCGACCACCGAACCACCAUCCCCUUUUCCCCCUCUCUUCUCCCUCAUCGCUCUUCUCUCUUUCCUCGUCCCUGACCCCUUCUCUGCGCCACCUCAGCCGCGACACCACACUCCCCUCCCUUCAUCCAUAAUCGCCGGCGAUUACCCACACCGCCGCGUCCCUUUCUCUUCCCCUUUCCCUCUUCUAGCUUCCACCGAGCCCAGUGCCCUCGCGACGUUCCCCUUGCGCCUCCUCUUCCCUGACUGCCAACCAUCACCGUCGGCCUUAACCCAGAACCCACCGCGCCAUCGACAAGGCACCACGACCCUCUUCCUUCUUCUUCCCUUUACAGCGCGGCCGUCGCAACCUCCUUAGCUCAGCGCCGAACCAGUCUCCAGCCACUCCAACCUCUUCUCAUCUCUCCACGAGCCCCUAUGUCUGUAUCACUGCACCCCACGGUAGCCAGAGUUGCUGCCGCACCACCUUCGCCGCCGCUUCUGCUCCAGCCGUCCGUUUCACACCACCUCCAUCCUCCCUUUCCUUCCCUGCUCCAAUUUUCUGCUUUCCAGCACCACCAUCACUCUUGCAGCCACUCUAUCGCCUAACCCACCAGUUGAAGGUGGAGGUGACCCAGUGACGACUCCUUCCACUCCGCAUGAUCGCGAGCACCGAGGAUGGUGCUGCAUUUUAAGUGUGGGGAGGUUGUGCAUCUUCAUCAAGCACAUCAUGGGUGACAAUCUUCAUUUUCGAACACUUAGUGUAGUUUUUUUUUUAUGUUUUUUUUGGUACUUUGUAUAUAUUUUAUCCUUUUGAGAAAUUUUUUACUUAGUUUAUUGCACUUUUUAAUUUUGCUUGUACAUAACUUAGUAUUAUAUAGUAGUUAUACAUAUUUGGAUAUUUUGCUCUUAAUUUUGGCUUGUACAUAUGUUCUUUUUGGUUUUUAGUCUUGAUUGUGAUUUGGGAUGAUGUGAUGAUUGCACCUAAGUUUGGUUUCCUAUAUACUUGUUAUUUUGGUUUGAUUGAAAUUAGGAAUUAAACUUAGAAUUUUUGACUUUUUCUAUCCAAUCACACCAUAUACAUAUAUAGAAUAAAUGUUAGUCAAUUUAAUGAAAUUUUCCAAGAAACUUACUCUUUAUAUAGGGCAUUGAAAUUCAAAUUGAAUUGAGUUGAAAAUUUUCAUUGAAACUUGCAUGAUUUAUACAUUGUGGAAUAUGGUUUUUGAGUUAAAGAACAUAUAACUUGUGAGAUUUUGAACCUCAUUGUGUGGUUACACUAUUUGACCACUUAUUUUAUUUUUGUGUGUGCUCUUCUCUAUGAGUGCAAUCUUUAGUUUGUUUAAUUCUAUAUAUCCAUUAUUUAAUGUAUGAUUAUGCAAUUAUGGGAUUGAGGCCAUCACUUCAUUAUAUCUCACUUACCCAAAUAGCCUACCAUUUCAUUCACCUUUAUUUGCCACUUUGAGCCUAUGAAUACCCCCUUUUGUUCUUUAUUUUACCACAUCAUUAACCUUAAGCGAAAAAUAAUGAAAUAUUCUUUGUUUGAAUCUUUGAGUAGCUUAAGUUAGUGUGUGUGAUGUUUAAGUGUGGGGAAGAUAUGGAAAACUUGGGUUGAUGAAAAUGUGUUUUAUUCUUGUUGAAAAAUCUUGGAAAUUUGGGGUGCAUACUCAUGUAAUAUUAUAGAAACCAUAUGCAUUGAUGUGUUGGUAUAUAUAUAUUAUGUUCAUGAAAAAAAAAGAGAAAAAAAAGAAAAGAAAAGACAAAGAAAUAAUGAAAAAAGGGGACAAAAUUAUCCCAAUGAGAAAUUCAAUAAACGUCAACGCAUAUGUGAUUGAAUUUGAUGCAUGAGUGUGUGUAUAUGUAAAAGUGAGAUUAUGGGUAGCUAAGUUCGAUAUUAGAAGUUUAUAGGUUGUGUGUGUGUUAGGUGAUAAUUUAGGCUAAUCAAAGAUUCAAAUGCAAGCUCACUUAGCUAUAUAUACAUCCUUACCUUUAACCUUAGUCCCAUUACAACCUUGAAAAGACCUCCUGAUUUUUGCAUAUGUACAUUAAAUUUGUGUUAAUUGGUUAGAUGAAGAACAAACUUU